GAUGAACGCUGGCGGCGUGCCUAAUACAUGCAAGUCGAGCGAACAGACGAGGAGCUUGCUCCUCUGACGUUAGCGGCGGACGGGUGAGUAACACGUGGAUAACCUACCUAUAAGACUGGGAUAACUUCGGGAAACCGGAGCUAAUACCGGAUAAUAUAUUGAACCGCAUGGUUCAAUAGUGAAAGACGGUUUUGCUGUCGCUUAUAGAUGGAUCCGCGCCGCAUUAGCUAGUUGGUAAGGUAACGGCUUACCAAGGCAACGAUGCGUAGCCGACCUGAGAGGGUGAUCGGCCACACUGGAACUGAGACACGGUCCAGACUCCUACGAGAGGCAGCAGUAGGGAAUCUUCCGCAAUGGGCGAAAGCCUGACGGAGCAACGCCGCGUGAGUGAUGAAGGUCUUCGGAUCGUAAAACUCUGUUAUUAGGGAAGAACAAAUGUGUAAGUAACUAUGCACGUCUUGACGGUACCUAAUCAGAAAGCCACGGCUAACUACG
RNAcentral lists this ribosomal RNA (495 nucleotides) under uncultured bacterium. RNAcentral's name for it is "partial 16S ribosomal RNA". It matches the Rfam family "Bacterial small subunit ribosomal RNA", at positions 28 to 505 of the family's 1533-position model. The record is from RNAcentral.